GCAUAUCAAUAAGCGGAGGAAAAGAACCAACMGGGAUUGCCCUAGUAACGGCGAGUGAAGCGGCAACAGCUCAAAUUUGAAAUCUGGCUUUCGGGUCCGAGUUGUAAUWUUGUAGAGGAUGCUUUUGGCGCGGUGCCUUCCGAGUUCCCUGGAACGGGACGCCUUAGAGGGUGAGAGCCCCGUACGGUUGGACACCAAGCCUCUGUAAAGCUCCUUCGACGAGUCGAGUAGUUUGGGAAUGCUGCUCUAAAUGGGAGGUAAAUUUCUUCUAAAGCUAAAUAUUGGCCAGAGACCGAUAGCGCACAAGUAGAGUGAUCGAAAGAUGAAAAGCACUUUGAAAAGAGGGUUAAAUAGCACGUGAAAUUGUUGAAAGGGAAGCGUUUGCGACCAGACCUUUUCUUAGCGGAUCAUCCGGUGUUAUCACCGGUGCACUUCGCUAAGUUUAGGCCAGCAUCGGUUUCUGUAGGGGGAUAAAAGCCUUGGGAACGUAGCUCCUUCGGGAGUGUUAUAGCCCUUUGCAUAAUACCCUUCUGGGGACCGAGGACCGCGCUAUAUGCAAGGAUGCUGGCAUAAUGGUCGUCAACGACCCGUCUUGAAACACGGACCAAGGAGUCGAACAUUUAUGCGAGUGUUUGGGUGUUAAACCCUCACGCGUAAUGAAAGUGAACGGAGGUGAGAGCCUUUACGGGUGCAUCAUCGACCGAUCCUGAUGUCUUCGGAUGGAUUUGAGUAAGAGCAUAACUGUUCGGACCCGAAAGAUGGUGAACUAUGCGUGGAUAGGGUGAAGCCAGAGGAAACUCUGGUGGAGGCUCGCAGCGGUUCUGACGUGCAAAUCGAUCGUCAAAAUCUGCGCAUGGGGGCGAAAGACUUAUCGAACCAUCUAGUAGCUGGUUWCCSCCGAAKUU
This 905-nucleotide ribosomal RNA is filed under the name Xylaria hypoxylon. RNAcentral's name for it is "LSU rRNA". It matches the Rfam family "Eukaryotic large subunit ribosomal RNA", at positions 38 to 968 of the family's 3401-position model. Lineage: Eukaryota; Fungi; Ascomycota; Sordariomycetes; Xylariales; Xylariaceae. The record is from RNAcentral.